This is a long non-coding RNA of Cyprinus carpio carpio, 9896 nucleotides long. NCBI's taxonomy places the organism in Eukaryota, Metazoa, Chordata, Actinopteri, Cypriniformes, Cyprinidae. The record is from Ensembl.
GCAAAAGUUGGAUUUUCCUAAUUUUCAUAAAUGAGCACAUGCAUAUAUCUGCAACCACAGGAGGAGACUAAUAUGAUAACGCAUAAAAUUGCAUAAAUGAAUGACAACGAAGCACAGUUUACAAUUGUGUAAAAUCGACCUUUAAUGGCAAAAAAACAAAUAAAAAAAAAACAAAGAGAAACUGUAGAUUGUCUACUUUGGCUCGUUGUAUCCGUUUCUUCUGUACAUUUAUGAUAGAGACUGUAAGAAAUUAGGCUAUAGCUGGUUUUUAUAAACAAAUUGUGUAAAUGAUUGCAAAUGAGUGAUGAUUAGAGAUUACUGUUAAAAAAAUAAAUUGUAAAUAAACCCAGCUUAACUACAUCAUCUAUAUGGGUGUAGAAUACGCACUUGUAUGAUAAGAUUGUAUUAAAUAAAAUGUAUCGUUUUGUAUCGUUUUCUUCGAACAGAUUAUAAAAUAAAGUUGUGCAGGUUCUGUGAGUGUUACAGAAGGGUGACGUUAUCUCUGCAUUUUAAAUGGAAAAUCACAAUUCAACGCUGCAGCAUAUUGAGACUUUCAUUCUAUAUCUUUAAACUUCAAAAACAUGGAAGAUAGGACCGUCUACAUAGCACUUACACAAUUUUAUAAAUUCUUUGAAACCAUUAACUAUUUGCAUUUAUUUGGACAGAAACCUAAUAGUAUGAAGCGCCUGAAUGCGCGCUUGAUAAAGAGAAAACUCACCGCCAGGGGUCGCUAAUGUCAAGACUGUAGUUGGCACACGUUGCAUGUCCAUCAUUAAGCGCUGUUAAACUUAGGCUAUAGGAUUAUAAAAGGCCUUGCAACGCUUGAGUCACAUUAGUGCAACAUUAGUGUCGACAUAUCGUAUGCUAUUAGCUACAGCAUUAAGGAUAGCAAGCAGUGCGUUUUUACACAUUUUAAAUAUUAAGAACAUGUAUCAUUAGCCCAGUUACUUGUUUAGGCUGAAAUAACAUGGAGACUGUGGUGUAAAACUGAAUGAUAAUCAGAGACUUUUAGUUAUUCCCAUUAUUACUGUUUGCAGUUUUAAGAUGAUAGUCAAAAAACCUUAAAAAAUGAAAUGCGCUCUUCUGAUAUGACUGAAGGUUCAUUGUCUGGUUAUUAGUUAAAGUCCCGUUUAGUGCCCUACAGGUUCAAAUCAACACAGUAAGUGCUGGAACAUCUGCAGGGCACGACACAGCUGGGUCAACAGUCACAGGACAUUCAUUUAACCCAGGUGGCCUUUGUGAAUGAAGAGAGCGGACUCUUCACUUAAACACACUUCAUUACGCGUGUUGGGGUCAAGAAAAUAUCAGCAUUUAGUCCCCAUCCGCUGUCGGAAUGGUCAUUCUGCCUCCAGCCCAAGAAGACUGACACAUGCAUUUUUCAUUUAGCCUACUGAUUAAUUACAGAUUGACACUACAUAAAUGUGCGAGUGCGCUUAUCCAUGUUAUAAAGCUAUUAUAAUAGGCUACAUUAUAAAGUGAAGAGUGCCUUUACAUUUUCUUUUACAUUUGCAAGAGUAAUGAAAAACAACAACUUAUAAUAAUAAUACAGUAAGCACUCAGAAUGUUAUAUUAUAUACAGACAAUAAGUAAAUUAUUUAAAACCAAAUGAGGUGUAGAAAUGGAGUGUAUGUUUGAAAUAUCUGUCAUGUAACUUUUUUUUAAAUGAAAUAAAUGAUUAUAGCCUACAGUUGGCCGAUGAGAGUAAACAGAUGCAGUGGAUUUCAAGAAAUUAUUAUUUAUAUAGCUGACCAGUUUCAGAUGGCAUCUUUUGCACACGCUCGCGCCUUAAAUUAUUUAUUUCUGUAUAGCUGUUUCUUUUAAAGUUAAAAACUCUAUAGUCUAUAAUACAAGCCAUAAAGUCUGAAUUGAGGCUGUAAAAUAAACUGUCUGUAGCAAUAUAGUAAUAAUAUAAUAUAUAUAAUUGUAACAUAUGCAACAAUAAGAAAUGUAACUUUUUUGAGGUAUUCUGUUACAUGUUUGAAUAAAAAGAAUUUAUGCAACAGUGGAAACCUAGCAAGUGAUCAGAGACAAGAACAAAAAGUAUACGGGAAAUAUUUACAUCUGCUCUUCUUUUUCUUCUAUAACAGUGCCAUUUUUUCUCCUGUAACAAACUGCAUAUGGUUAUUAGAUAUAUUUUUAAAACAUGAUUGUACUUACGCUCUUGUAUUUUCCUUAGCCCCAGAAUCAGCCCCAGAUUUUUUUUAUCGUUUCCAGAAUCUUCAGUAGCCUACUUGGAGACAAAUAGACCCAUGAUAACAGAGUAACAGAUUGCAGUCACAGAAAGAUAAACGUACAGUGAAUUGCCAUGUAAAGGUAUGUGCAAAAUUGAAAUGAUAAAUGUAUAAAGCCUAUACCUACUUUUACAAAGUUUCAUAUUUUGAAUUUAAUAAACCUCUUACUCAUUUUAAAAAGCAAAUAUUUUAGGCCAAAGCUGAAAUUAUAGGCAUAACUUAAUUCAUUUUAGGUUACUAUAGGAACUCUGCAACCUAUAGGCGACACUCUGUCCCGCGCGCACUCCGCAAACCAUGGAAAGCGAGCGCGCAAGAGAGAGAGAAGCGGAGAAAGGGAGCACGCGCGUGUGAUUGUGAUUGGUCGCCCGGCUGCCUGCUGCUGGAGUGACGUCACUGCAGGAGAGAACUGCCAGAAGAGGAUGCAUUUAGUCAGAAACUAGACUCUCUCAAGCUGGAGAGAGAGAACAUCUCAUCCACAGCGCGGGAGGGAAGGGAAUGAGACAAUCGCAUGCAGGUUUCAUAAAGUAAACGUUGCAUCUCUUCUCACGUCCAUGCAUGAACACUGUAAGCAUGCUUUUCAAGGGAGGAAUUCCCCAUCUUGGAAAUUAAACUGCCUGUUCCGUUCUCUUGAUGGCUGAGACGCAACGUUCGAUGGCUGAAUACGAGUACUGACUGCGAGUUCUGAAUGGAAACCGCAUCGCUGAAGAGAUGUAGGCAACUGGAGAGUUUGGCUUUUGACUAGAUGCUUCCGCGCUGCCCAGAGAUUUUAGCGUCAUGUUCUUCAACGCAAGACGCACGGGAACCUCUAUUCGUCCCCGACACACGGCCACUCGUAGCUUACUUUCUGACAGAGAGGAAUACGCACGUCAAUUGUUAAAAGUCAACUUAAUGAGAUGUUCCACAUCAAAAAAAAAAAAAAAAGUGUUGACAGGAGGUAGUUGCUAUCUUUGGUUAUCUAGCUGUAUGAGUGUUUAUCUUCCUUCAUAAAGCUAGAUAACCGAAAGUAGAAACGUCCUCCUUAACUGCAUAGUGGACAAGUUGGGAAGCAAUGAUCGCAGGGAACUGCAUGAGCCUCUCAAACUGCUGUGUCUUUGUGAGAGACCAGAGGACUGGAGCUAAGGGGGAAAACGCCAUCUGCAACUGCCAGCCAUUUACACUGCCUUUUUGGAGCAAGAGGGAGAGAGGAAAAAAUGGUGCAAUUGUCCAAAUGAAAGAAAAGAAAAAUAAUAGUCAACCCUCAUCCUUCUUCUACCAGCUCCCCUCCCUUCUUCAUCAACGGAAGCAUUUAGUGCCAUCUGUGCCCCCGGAGAAAAGAGGAAAAAAGGAAAGGAGUGAGACUCUACAUCCCAAGUGCCAAUGGGGACAAAGAGGCUGCCAGUUGCCACGGACCACCAGAUGCAGGAAGACUGCAAGUCUGAAUGAGGGGUGUGCUUUCAGGAAGCCAUCUUGAUGGAGAAACUGGCUGCUGCUCCCUAAAAUGGCUGUGUUGGCAUGAGGCUCCUGGCGAUGAAACUCUGAAAAAUUCCCAUCAUUGUCAUCAGCUGCUGGAGAAACCGUGGCCAUGCUGCUAUGUUUGACUCAAAUGGUCAAUCACAUCACCUCAGGAAUCCAGCGUCCAGCAUUUCUUCCAGAUGGUUCGCUGUGAAAAUUUAACAAGCAGAUGAUUUCGAAUGUGCACUAAUUGUCUUAAAACCUUGCAGACAAUCAGUAAUACUGGAUGGGUGUGUGGAUUUGGGCUGUUCGCCCAGUUAAAUCUUAGAUGUUAGAAAAUGUGUUGUACAAUCUUAUCAGUGCUGUGUAAACUGAAGAGCAUAAUGUGCCUUAAUGUGUGAAAAGUUUACAAUGAAAGUAGUUGUUAUUGAAACAUGUCAGUGCAAUCCCGAUUUUAAAUAUUAGUAUUUUCAAUGACCUUUCAUGUUAGUCAUCCAUGUUUCAUGUUAUUAUAUUAUAAAAUGUGCCUGUUUCAGUUGAUUUACAGGAAAUUGGUUAAUCCAGAUAUUUUGUAUGGCUACUGUAUGUAUGGUUUAAUACAAGAAUUAUGCUCAGUUUCUCUCUGGAUUAUCAUUUGUCUGAUUAUGUGAUAUGUGAAACAAAUUUAUUAAGCUGCACAAAUAAACAACAUUAAAGCACUGAGUAAAUGAUUGUUGGAUUGCUGAAAAAGCCAUUUUAAGUUAUACUCUGUAUAGAAAUGUACUGUAAUGGGAGGUGGACAUCAACACAGCUUCACAUGUAGUGGCCACAGGCUAAUUUGUAACCACCUACUUGAAGACAGCUUGACAGCUCAUAGUUCUGGUGCUCCUGUCAGCACCUUGGACAGCACAUAAUAAGCAAGUGCAGAAAAUAACUAGCAGUGAAUCACCUCUCUUAUUCAUGCAGAAGUCACAAAAAAAAAUAAUAAUAAUAAAACCUAUGUGCUGGCCUGGUGUGAGUAAGCGCAGUGUGCUUAAGGUGACGUGUUUGUGUUUUUAAUCUGUGGGAAGGGGAUCAAACAAUUUUGUAUAAUUCUGUCAGUGGGAUUUGUUUGACUGGCAAACACUCAAACACUGCAUGUCAAUGAUUGUUUUCAUUUACUGAGAUUAUAUCUGAAGCAUAGUCUACAUAAAACAGAGAAUUUGUCACGUUAAAAGAUUAUCAACAGAUUUAACAUAUGAAGUAAAAUUAUUUUGAGCCAAAAUUGAGAGCUCAUUUCUAUGUCUGAGCUGGAAUAAUCAUUCAUCACAUUGUCAGCUGAUGAGAAAUAUACCUGGUGUAAAACACUGGUUAAAUUACAUUAAGCCAUAAAGGAAGGAUUCACACACAGCUCUCAAGUUAAGAUGGAUGUCUAUGACAAAUCUGACAAGAUUUAAUCUUCAGUUGAAAUUUAAUUUUGAUGGGUGUUUUUCCUGCGCAGUUCCAGAAUCACAAACACAUCUGAAGAGUUUUCACUCUCGAGUUUGUCAGUGAAUCGUGGAGUAGUACAAAUGAUCGUGUGCUCUAUCAAAUAAAACCUUUAUAUCUUAUGUUAAAAUAGGCCUGCUUUUAAUUAGAUUACUUCCAACCAAUAGCCUAUAUAACUUAAUCGGAAUUUGAAUAUUAUAUUUAAAAUACGUUUCUGUACAUUUUUACAUAUAAUUCCACGUCUGUUGCUUCAUUCAGUUUUUGUGGAGCGUACAGAAGACGGGCAGAUCAUUUUUAGAGCUUAAAGAGAUUAAAAAGUUUACGUUCUCAAUAUCAUCUUAUCAAAACAUGUUGCAGGCAGUGGUGAAAUGCAUACGUUGAAUAAGUUUGGGCACAAACUUUGGUUACAUGAACUAUUUCACCACCGAUAAUGCUGAGAAUGUUCUACCUGAUUUUACGCGAAAAAACAAAAGAUGUGGAAACUAUUCUCCAUUUUAUUGCAUAAUGAAACUCCUUCCCACCAGUUUAUAUCAUUUAUUAUGGCGUAAUUGACUUGCAUCAAUUAAAUUAACAAAAAAGGGGGAAAGAAACAAACUGACGAUAUCAACAGAACAAAAUUCAUUUAUUUUAUUUCAUUACAAAACUUUACAACUAUCCAUCGUAUAUGCUAUUCAACAAACAUUUACUGUAAGCAAUAACCAAUCUCUGUAUUAGAUUUCCAGUAAUUUAAAUCAUAGCGUUCAUAUCAGGAUAAGCCUGUGGAGAAAGAAGAGACUCGUUAGUCGUCGGAUGUCGAGUUAAUAUUGUAGGAGAGACUGCACUGCUGUAACACGGGGUAAGUUGUAAGUUUGCAAUUAGAAAUCAGCUACAGGGGUGAAAUCUGCAUCAUAUACAUGAGCACCACUCCACUGAGUUAGAGGUACAAAUCGUAAGACUCUCUGUAAAAAUAUAGAAGAUUUACAAGGCAAAAAAAUUCGAGAUGUCUCCCCGUCUCUUUUAAUUUAGUGUGAUGAAUGAUUUUACAUUACAUAUGGGUUAAUAUCAUCUGAUUCAGCAGGUUCUCUUGUUCAAUUUGAAAUACACACACGCUUUUAAUUCAAAUUUUAUAUCUGACCAGACAGGAAGGGUUGUAACACUUUCCAAUGCAGAAAUAUUGAGGGCAACAACAGUGCAAACUCAACACACAUGUCUGUUUUUACAGUGUGUUUGUUCCCAAAUGUAUUUGCUGUUUUGCUUUAAAUUGUUCUAUAUUUGUUAAAUUAAAAUGUUUAAAAUGUCCAUGUUUUCUAUUAAUGUUUUAACUCACCACAGCAGUUGUUACAGUAGCGCUCUUUGCACUUGACAUUCAAUUUCACAGUUUAGGUUGUAGAUUUUAAAACAACUGUUUUUUUUUAUUAUCAUUAUUGGAUUCUGAAUAUGUUUAUGUGCAGAUAAACUGUAUCGAUGUUAUGUUGGAGCCAGCAAAAAAAAAAAAAAAACCCUUUGCGUAUAGCUAUCGAAAUGGGGGAAGUGCAUAGAUUGUUUCUAUAGUUACACAUUUUAUAACCUAGCCCUAAAACCCACACUCCAAACAUGACAAAACCAUCUGCAUUUUUACAAAUAUGGUUAAGUAGCCUAGGUACACACACUCCAUGUUCUCCCCUCAUCUUUACAACAGCUUUUCUAGCUGACCUCUGAGGUUUAAGCAAUAGAAUAGGGUAUGACUGUUCAUGGUUGACCAAGGGGUCAGACCACUCUUAACUGACCAGACACGUGCUCUUUGCUCUAAACAAGCCUCUUAAAGAAAAAGAAUAGGUCUUAAACAAAUGAUGAGCCCGUGGGGGAGGGGAAGUUUGUUAUUCUGCGAAAAGAACAACAUUCUUCAUGCGCAAGCAACAUACAUAUUAGUCUUGAUGUAUUGUUAAAAUAGUCUAAAUGAAAAAAAGUGAAGUCACAAACAUCUAGAGCACAGUGAAAUACAUUUUAAUGUGCUAUCAUAGCUAGGCCUUUGUCAAAAUGUAGGCUUACUAUUAAUAUAAUUUCUAAAACGUAUUUAGCCAUUUUACAUAAAUAUUAACCAAUCUGCGAUCCAGAAGUCAAAGGAGACUUAAUUGAUGCCCUUCAGCGUCAUAUUUGAAGUUGAUGUCAACGCAAGUCUCUCGAGCACCAGUCACAGCUGACACAAGGGUCAGAGGUGAUGUGCUGGGUUCAAGUGGUUUGUCCAGUUAUUCCCAAAGGGCCAAUCGAAUGAUCUAAGAUGAAAGAGAUGACAAGAUUUUGCUCUGUGUCCCACUAUUAAUUCUUCUGACUUCAUUUUACUUAAAAAGAUUGUAGGCCUAUUUGAAAGCAUCUAGACAUAAAUGAGGCUUAGGCCUUAUUUCUGUUUAGGCUUUAAUGACAAACGCAUUUCUUUUAUUUACUUAAUGUUUGGAUAAAAAUAACUAUUUGGUUAAAAUAAAACAGGGUAAAUGCAUCUCAGUUUAAGCUUGGAUAACAAAAUGUAAGCGUCGACUAAUUAAAAACAUUUCAUAACAUCAAAGGACACCGUUGUUUGUAUUCUGAUCUAUCUACAUUUUUAUUCUGCUGAAUUCAGAAUUCCGAUGUAGGCUACAUUCUUCAUGUUUUGUUAUUAAACGGGACGCAUUAGAACGCUAAAAACGCCGGAAAUGACCCACCAAAGUGCGCGCGCUAACUGCAGGUGUUAAGUCACGUGGCGCUGUAUGAUCGUUUGUGUUUAUUCAUUUAUUCUGCUCGGAUUUUCUGCUUGUCAUAAGCAGAUAAAUAGCAACCACUGUACAGCGAGGCAUAAAGGUCUCACCUAUUUAGAAACACUGAGAAAUUAAUCGUGAGGCGUGACGUAGGGGAGAGAAAACAUUAUUUUUUCGUUAUAUGGUUAAAGUAAACAAAGAAACUAACAUUAGGGGAGAGUUUUUAAGUUUAACCGAUUAGAAAUCAGCUAGGCUACAUGACUAAAAUAAUGAGCAGCACCCUUCUGAGCUAGAUGUUAGCUGUUAGUGUAAAACAAAAGAUUUAUAAGAGAGAGAAAAUAAACUACAAAUUCACGUCUGGAUUAUAGUUUAUGCAUUUGUGGUCACGUCGUUUUUAAAUGACAGAAAUAUAAUCUGAAACAGUAGCCUAGUUUUUGUUUAAUUUUGAUAUAGGUUAUAACACACAAUCGCAGUUGUGACGCAUUCACAACACACAACCUGUCUGAUCCAUAUUUUUUAUAUGUAGCUAUUUACGUUGUUUUUUUCUGUUUGUUUCUCAUUUUAUUUUCUGCUUUAAAUGUAAAUGUUUCUUGUAUAUUUAAAAUAUAAAAGAGAGUGCGAAAUAGAGAGAGAGGGAAUAUGGGUGGUGAUACAUUUUUUUUUUUUUAAUUUCCACAUAAAUUUAUGUUUAAACAGUUCAUGUUUUCUAUUGGAUUAAACAUGAAAUUAAAUUAACUGAUUUUAAACAAAUAAUGGAAUUUUAUUUCAAAGUUUGAGACACAUGUAGCACAAAAAACACAGAGCUAUACAGGCGUAGAAAAUGUGUUGCAACACGCCUCGGUCUCCUCUAACAUACGGUCCCCAAAAUACUGAAAUAUCCACGGAGAAAAAAAAAAAAAGCUCAGCACCGAAAGUCUUUCAUUAAGAGCCAGACGAGCAGCAAUUAGCGACAGAGCAGCUCAGCAAAGCCAAGAGCGCCGGGAUUAUUGUCCAAUCAUUUAUAUCUUCCAAACCAGUAAGCAUUAGAGUUUGUAAUGUAAGUUAGCAUAAGAAUAGGAACAGGUCCUGUGAACUUCCCCGACCUUCUGACCCUCUUUUACCGAGAUGAAUAGCACCACUUUCAGACACCCCAGCCUCUUCAACAGGCUUGAACCAUGCCUAAAUUCCCAAUCAUGGUAAUUUAAUAUAUCUUAAGCCCCCCCGGCUGCAUGAUUCCAGUUUUUCUAUAGUUUAAUGUAGGCAUCUGUGUCGAUUCACUCCUUACUCGGGCUGCUACGGGACUAGUUUUCUCUUAUAACCUAUAAAAGCCAAGAUGAAUGGCGUUCCCAUCUUUUCAGUGUCAUUUUGAUAAAAAGACAGUACAAUUAGUCUACAAUCAGCUCCACAACAAUAACACUGUUAGGAUGCAUCCGAAAUCGUGCACGACUGAUGUAUACACACACUUGCUUUCAUAAAAGCAAACUCUUUAUUUAUUUGUUUCUUGGGAGGUUUGCAGUUUAUUGAAAUAACUAAAUAGCAAGUGGAAGCUCAUGACUGAUUCUAAACAUUGCUCAGUGACUGGCAGGUUUGAGGCGCGUGCGCGAGUCUAACAAAUGCCCCUGCCUCUUUGAUGAAUGGCGAAUAUCUAAUGAGGCAGAUGGGCACCUACUGUACUUUUCAUUGUUUGCAGAUAAUGCAUCGAUUAAUAAGCCCUGGCACAUUUGAUUUAAAUGUUACAUAAAUGUUUAUUAAUGGAUUUCCAAUAAUAAUGAGACACUGAGGAUGCGAGAGCCCAUUUUUUGCCCGUCAAGCACGCCCCACGCGAACUGCCUAUUCACGCAUCUGAAGAACUAAAGGAAAAAGGCGACAUCUUUUGGCUGGAAUACCAACAAUAGAAGACACAAACCCGCCGCAUCCCUUGAACAAGGCAUUGAACAAGCACUUGAAUCCUGAAAUAGAUGCUUGCGAUUAUGCAGAACUAACAGGCACGGCUCACAUGAAAAUAAAUCCUAAAUGAUCAAUAAAGUAUCAAUAGCCUACCCCACAAUGAUCUACGCCUCCAUCUAGGGGAUGUGCGUUGGUGCAAGCUGCUGAGUGGAUAUUAAACUGUAUGAACAUCAAG